AGAAAGUGUAAGAUGCAAGCAAUGUUGCAGUAGAGAUUUUCAUCAGAUUGGAGGUGAGGUUUAGUCUGCCUUAAUCUAAGAAAUGUUUUACAUGGAUGAUUUGCUAUAAAGAAUACAUCUAAAAACAUGCRGAUUUUAUAGAAAUUCUGCUUAUUCAUUCAGGAGCUAUUUUAUGAACCAAUCAUACAAUCUUUGCUUUGCAUUACAGUGUGAUAAAAGGAAAGUUACAUUUAUUUGAAGGAUGUUCUACUCAGGAUGCUGAAGAUUGUCUUCCAGGAAUCUACAGCUUUGCUCUUAUUACAUUGACGUGGCAGCAGUGCAAGGUCAAAGGAGAAAUACCCACUGGAAGGACACAUCAUACACUUACAGCACACUAUGACAAGCAAAGAUAAAAUGGAAGAUGCCACUUUACAUAGGAAUUCCUUCUGCUUGUGGACACAGACAUGUGGCAUUUGUUCUUCAUUGCCAUAAUGUAUUUCCACAAGUCUUUCUGAAGUCAGAAAUCAAUUGGAAUCGCAUACUCAUUAUAUUCUGGGACUCAGUUAGGAGUAUCUGCUGUCAAAGUUACAGAGUUUUGGUGCAGCUGCUGAAGAGAAGACUGGAAGCCUGUGGGCGAGCUCUCAAGCUGGAGGAGUAUAAUGAAGGCCACAAUGAACUGUUUGGACCAAGCCUCGAGAUGUUCAGGCAAGGUGUUAAUGGCGGUAACUGA
RNAcentral lists this long non-coding RNA (709 nucleotides) under Dromaius novaehollandiae (emu). RNAcentral's name for it is "lncRNA (ENSDNVG00000010503.1)". The record is from RNAcentral. Lineage: Eukaryota; Metazoa; Chordata; Aves; Casuariiformes; Dromaiidae.